RNAcentral lists this ribosomal RNA (705 nucleotides) under Priestia megaterium. RNAcentral's name for it is "bacterial SSU rRNA". It matches the Rfam family "Bacterial small subunit ribosomal RNA", at positions 56 to 743 of the family's 1533-position model. Lineage: Bacteria; Bacillati; Bacillota; Bacilli; Caryophanales; Bacillaceae. The record is from RNAcentral.
UGCAGUCGAGCGAACUGAUUAGAAGCUUGCUUCUAUGACGUUAGCGGCGGACGGGUGAGUAACACGUGGGCAACCUGCCUGUAAGACUGGGAUAACUUCGGGAAACCGAAGCUAAUACCGGAUAGGAUCUUCUCCUUCAUGGGAGAUGAUUGAAAGAUGGUUUCGGCUAUCACUUACAGAUGGGCCCGCGGUGCAUUAGCUAGUUGGUGAGGUAACGGCUCACCAAGGCAACGAUGCAUAGCCGACCUGAGAGGGUGAUCGGCCACACUGGGACUGAGACACGGCCCAGACUCCUACGGGAGGCAGCAGUAGGGAAUCUUCCGCAAUGGACGAAAGUCUGACGGAGCAACGCCGCGUGAGUGAUGAAGGCUUUCGGGUCGUAAAACUCUGUUGUUAGGGAAGAACAAGUACAAGAGUAACUGCUUGUACCUUGACGGUACCUAACCAGAAAGCCACGGCUAACUACGUGCCAGCAGCCGCGGUAAUACGUAGGUGGCAAGCGUUAUCCGGAAUUAUUGGGCGUAAAGCGCGCGCAGGCGGUUUCUUAAGUCUGAUGUGAAAGCCCACGGCUCAACCGUGGAGGGUCAUUGGAAACUGGGGAACUUGAGUGCAGAAGAGAAAAGCGGAAUUCCACGUGUAGCGGUGAAAUGCGUAGAGAUGUGGAGGAACACCAGUGGCGAAGGCGGCUUUUUGGUCUGUAACUGA